RNAcentral lists this ribosomal RNA (1524 nucleotides) under human gut metagenome. RNAcentral describes it as "bacterial LSU rRNA". It matches the Rfam family "Bacterial large subunit ribosomal RNA", at positions 1098 to 2636 of the family's 2925-position model. The record is from RNAcentral.
AGGUUGGCUCAGAAGCAGCCAUCCUUUAAAGAGUGCGUAACAGCUCACUAGUCGAGUGACCCUGCGCCGAAAAUGUACCGGGGCUAAGCCUGAUACCGAAACUGCGGAUUGUAGGAAACUAUAGUGGUAGGGGAGCGUUGUAUACGAGCAGAAGCCGUACCGUGAGGAGCGGUGGAUUGUAUAGAAGUGAGAAUGCCGGUGUGAGUAGCGAGAUGUAGGUGAGAAUCCUACACACCGAAAGCCCAAGGAUUCCAGGGGAAGGUUCGUCCGCCCUGGGUAAGUCGGGACCUAACGCGAGGCCGAAAGGCGUAGUGGAUGGAAAGCAGGCGAAAGAUUCCUGCACCCGUAUAUGGAGCGAAGGAGUGACGGAGACGGAUAGUGUGACCCUCUUAAUGGAUUGAGGGCGAAGCGAAGCGGCUGGUUACCAGGCAAAUCCGGUAACCAAAAGGCUAGAGCGUGACAGGUAAGCGAAAUCUUAGGAAAGUAGCGAAGCACAUGAUGACGGCUUCCAGGAAAAGCUUCUGGCAAUGCAUAUGCGGCCCGUACCAAAACCGACACAGGUGGGCAGGGAGAGAAUCCCGAGGUGAGCGAGAGAACUGUUGCCAAGGAACUCGGCAAAAUGACUCCGUAAGUUAGCGAGAAGGAGUGCUUAAGCAAUUAAGCCGCAGUGAAGAGGCCCAAGCGACUGUUUAACUAAAACACAGCUCUCUGCGAAGUCGCAAGACGAAGUAUAGGGGGUGACACCUGCCCGGUGCUGGAAGGUUAAGAGGAUCUGUUAAGAGCGAUCUGAAGCAGUGAUCCGAAGCCCCAGUGAACGGCGGCCGUAACUAUAACGGUCCUAAGGUAGCGAAAUUCCUUGUCAGGUAAGUUCUGACCCGCACGAAAGGUGUAACGAUUUGGGCGCUGUCUCGGCAGCAGACUCGGUGAAAUCUUAGUACCUGUGAAAAUGCAGGUUACCCGCAACUAGACGGAAAGACCCCAUGGAGCUUUACUGCAGCCUGAUAUUGAAUUCUGGUCAUACAUGUACAGGAUAGGUGGGAGACAAAGAGACGUGCACGCCAGUGUACGAGGAGUCGACGUUGGGAUACCACUCUUGUGUGACCGGGGUUCUAACCUGGUAUCGAGAACAGGUACGGGGAGAGUGUCAGGUGGGCAGUUUGACUGGGGCGGUCGCCUCCCAAAGAGUAACGGAGGCGCCCAAAGGUACGCUCAGAUUGGAUGGAAACCAAUCGUCGAGUGCAAUUGCAGAAGCGUGCUUGACUGUGAGACAGACAAGUCGAACAGGGACGAAAGUCGGGAAUAGUGAUCCGGCGGUGCCGAAUGGAAGGGCCGUCGCUCAACGGAUAAAAGCUACCCUGGGGAUAACAGGCUGAUCUCGCCCAAGAGUUCACAUCGACGGCGAGGUUUGGCACCUCGAUGUCGGCUCAUCGCAUCCUGGAGCUGGAUUCGGUUCCAAGGGUUGGGCUGUCCGCCCAUUAAAGCGGUACGCGAGCUGGGUUCAGAACGUCGUGAGACAGUUCGGUC